GCGAAGGAAGUGCCGUGGGUGGGGGGAAGACGUAGGGGGGGAGGGUGGUCCGGAAAUAUGGGGCGGAAAGGGCGCGGAGGCGGUUUGGCGAGUCGGGAGUGAAAGCGACUGGCUUAGCGGGGGGCUGGCGUUCGAUACGGGCAGACUGGAGGUAGGCAGGGGAGAACGGAAUGCCGGGUGUAGCGGUGAAAUGCGCAGAUAUCAGGAGGAACACCGGUGGCGAAGGCGGUUCUCUGGGCAUGUCCUGACGCUGAGGAGCGAAAGUGUGGGGAGCGAACAGGAUGAGAUACCCGAGUAGUC
Molecule: ribosomal RNA, 300 nt
Filed under: uncultured Prosthecomicrobium sp.
Lineage: Bacteria; Pseudomonadati; Pseudomonadota; Alphaproteobacteria; Hyphomicrobiales; Kaistiaceae
Description: partial 16S ribosomal RNA
Rfam family: Bacterial small subunit ribosomal RNA (bases 52-300)
Source: RNAcentral